RNAcentral lists this ribosomal RNA (1138 nucleotides) under uncultured cyanobacterium. RNAcentral's name for it is "bacterial SSU rRNA". It matches the Rfam family "Bacterial small subunit ribosomal RNA", at positions 282 to 1443 of the family's 1533-position model. Lineage: Bacteria; Bacillati; Cyanobacteriota. The record is from RNAcentral.
GGUAGCUGGUCCGAAGAGGAUGAGCAGCCCCACUGGGACUGAGACACGGCCCAGACUCUACGGGAGGCAGCAGUGGGGAAUUUCGCAUGGCGAAAGCUGACGAGCAACGCGCGUGUGGGAAGAAGGCUCUGGGCUGUCAACCACUUUUCUCAGGGAAGAAUUACUGACGGUACCUGAGGAAUCAGCCUCGGCUAACUCCGUGCCAGCAGCCGCGGUAAUACGGAGGAGGCAAGCGUUAUCCGGAAUUAUUGGGCGUAAAGCGUCCGCAGGGGGCGCAUCAAGUCUGCUGUUAAAGGCCCGAGCUUAACUCCGGUAGAGCAGUGGAAACUGGUGCGCUAGAGGGCGACAGGGGUAGAGGGAAUUCCCAGUGUAGCGGUGAAAUGCGUAGAGAUUGGGAAGAACACCGGUGGCGAAAGCGCUCUACUGGGUCGCACCUGACCCUCAGGGACGAAAGCUAAGGUAGCGAAAGGGAUUAGAUACCCCUGUAGUCUUAGCCGUAAACGAUGGAUACUAGGCGUGGCUUGUAUCGACCCAAGCCGUGCCGAAGCUAACGCGUUAAGUAUCCCGCCUGGGGAGUACGCACGCAAGUGUGAAACUCAAAGGAAUUGACGGGGGCCCGCACAAGCGGUGGAGGAUGUGGUUUAAUUCGAUGCAACGCGAAGAACCUUACCAGGGCUUGACAGACCGCGAAUCUUCCGGAAAGGGAAGAGUGCCUUCGGGAGCGCGGACACAGGUGGUGCAUGGCUGUCGUCAGCUCGUGUCGUGAGAUGUUGGGUUAAGUCCCGCAACGAGCGCAACCCUCGUCCUUAGUUGCCAGCAUUAAGUUGGGCACUCUAGGGAGACUGCCGGUGACAAACCGGAGGAAGGCGAGGAUGACGUCAAGUCAGCAUGCCCCUUAUGCUCUGGGCUACACACGUCCUACAAUGGUCGGGACAAAGGGGAGCGAGCUCGCGAGAGUCAGCGAAUCCCAUCAAACCCGACCUCAGUUCAGAUUGCAGGCUGCAACUCGCCUGCAUGAAGGAGGAAUCGCUAGUAAUCGCAGGUCAGCAUACUGCGGUGAAUUCGUUCCCGGGCCUUGUACACACCGCCCGUCACACCAUGGAAGCUGGCCAAGCCCGAAGUCGUUACCCUAACCUUC